GCGUAGUUCAAUUGGUAGAAUACCGGUCUCCAAAACCGGGGGUUGUGGGUUCGAGUCCCUCCGCU
This 65-nucleotide transfer RNA is filed under the name marine eukaryotic metagenome. It matches the Rfam family "tRNA", at positions 5 to 66 of the family's 71-position model. From Rfam's summary of the family: Transfer RNA (tRNA) molecules are approximately 80 nucleotides in length. Their secondary structure includes four short double-helical elements and three loops (D, anti-codon, and T loops). Further hydrogen bonds mediate the characteristic L-shaped molecular structure. tRNAs have two regions of fundamental functional importance: the anti-codon, which is responsible for specific mRNA codon recognition, and the 3' end, to which the tRNAs corresponding amino acid is attached (by aminoacyl-tRNA synthetases). tRNAs cope with the degeneracy of the genetic code in two manners: having more than one tRNA (with a specific anti-codon) for a particular amino acid; and 'wobble' base-pairing, i.e. permitting non-standard base-pairing at the 3rd anti-codon position. The record is from RNAcentral.